Molecule: ribosomal RNA, 888 nt
Filed under: Acinetobacter sp. 1Lpecto26
Lineage: Bacteria; Pseudomonadati; Pseudomonadota; Gammaproteobacteria; Moraxellales; Moraxellaceae
Description: bacterial SSU rRNA
Rfam family: Bacterial small subunit ribosomal RNA
Source: RNAcentral
UGUGAGGUUUGAUCCCUGGCUCAGAUUGAACGCUGGCGGCAGGCUUAACACAUGCCAAGUCGAGCGGGAAAGGUAGCUCGGUACCUGACCCUAGCGGCGGACGGGUGAGUAAUGCUUAGGAAUCUGCCUAUUAGUGGGGGACAACAUUCCGAAAGGAACGCUAAUACCGCAUACGCCCUACGGGCAAAAGCAGGGGAUCUUCGGACCUUGCGCUAAUAGAUGAGCCUAAGUCGGAUUAGCUAGUUGGUGGGGUAAAGGCCUACCAAGGCGACGAUCUGUAGCGGGUCUGAGAGGAUGAUCCGCCACACUGGGACUGAGACACGGCCCAGACUCCUACGGGAGGCAGCAGUGGGGAAUAUUGGACAAUGGGCGGAAGCCUGAUCCAGCCAUGCCGCGUGUGUGAAGAAGGCCUUUUGGUUGUAAAGCACUUUAAGCGAGGAGGAGGCUCCUUUAGUUAAUACCUAAAGAGAGUGGACGUUACUCGCAGAAUAAGCACCGGCUAACUCUGUGCCAGCAGCCGCGGUAAUACAGAGGGUGCGAGCGUUAAUCGGAUUUACUGGGCGUAAAGCGUGCGUAGGCGGCUUUUUAAGUCGGAUGUGAAAUCCCUGAGCUUAACUUAGGAAUUGCAUUCGAUACUGGAAAGCUAGAGUAUGGGAGAGGAUGGUAGAAUUCCAGGUGUAGCGGUGAAAUGCGUAGAGAUCUGGAGGAAUACCGAUGGCGAAGGCAGCCAUCUGGCCUAAUACUGACGCUGAGGUACGAAAGCAUGGGGAGCAAACAGGAUUAGAUACCCUGGUAGUCCAUGCCGUAAACGAUGUCUUCUAACCGUUGGGGCCUUUGAGGCUUUAGUGGCGCAGCUAACGCGAUAAGUAGACCGCCUGGGAGAUGGGA